This 447-nucleotide ribosomal RNA is filed under the name uncultured bacterium. RNAcentral's name for it is "bacterial SSU rRNA". It matches the Rfam family "Bacterial small subunit ribosomal RNA", at positions 330 to 794 of the family's 1533-position model. The record is from RNAcentral.
UCCAGACUCCUACGGGAGGCAGCAGUGGGGGAUAUUGCACAAUGGGGGGAACCCUGAUGCAGCGACGCCGCGUGGGUGAAGAAGCGCCUCGGCGCGUAAAGCCCUGUCAGCAGGGAAGAAAAUGACGGUACCUGAUUAAGAAGCCCCGGCUAACUACGUGCCAGCAGCCGCGGUAAUACGUAGGGGGCAAGCGUUAUCCGGAUUUACUGGGUGUAAAGGGAGCGUAGACGGCAAGGCAAGCCAGAAGUGAAAGGGCAGGGCUCAACCCUGUACAUGCUUUUGGAACUGUGGUGCUAGAGUGCAGGAGAGGUAAGUGGAACUCCUAGUGUAGCGGUGAAAUGCGUAGAUAUUAGGAGGAACACCAGUGGCGAAGGCGGCUUACUGGACUGUAACUGACGUUGAGGCUCGAAAGCGUGGGGAGCAAACAGGAUUAGAUACCCCAGUAAA